This 216-nucleotide ribosomal RNA is filed under the name Glomeromycotina sp. Its description in RNAcentral is "partial small subunit ribosomal RNA". The stretch from base 75 to 216 matches the Rfam family "Eukaryotic small subunit ribosomal RNA", at positions 721 to 864 of the family's 1831-position model. Lineage: Eukaryota; Fungi; Glomeromycota. The record is from RNAcentral.
GGGUCAGUAGGUUGGUCGUGCCACCGGUACGUACUGGUCUCACUGAUUCCUCCUUCCUGAAGGACCGCAAUGCCAUUAAUUUGGUGUUGCGGGGAAACAGGACUGUUACUUUGAAAAAAUUAGAGUGUUUAAAGCAAGCUAACGCUUGAAUACAUUAGCAUGGAAUAAUGAAAUAGGACGAUCGAUCCUAUUUUGUUGGUUUCUAGGAUUGACGUA